GAAGCAGAGGAGAAUUUGGAGAAGUGCUGCAGUGGGCUAAGAAGACCAAGACCCUAGUAUAUAUCAAAUUCAGUCUCAUCUCCUGAGCCUGCUACCACAGUCUUUAGAACAAAGCUUCUUUUCAACCAUAAGUAGAUAUCAAGAGAUGUGGACUCAUGGGAGUGAUAUCUGCAAUGUUAAAGCAGCAGCCAGAAAGAGGUCUCCUCUGAUACCCAGGUGUAGAAAGACACACACACACACGGGCAACGUGGAGAAGCAUAGCUAACUAAAGAUCUGCUCAUUCAAGCAAUCAUUGCCCAGCAAGUUCAUAAAUCAAAGUUAAUUAAGCUGAAGCAUCAUUUUUGAUGGGACUGAAAUUUGCACAUAUAUAGUUAAUAAUGAAUAAUUAUAGGUCAUUGCUUUAUCAGAAAAGACAUGUACCAUUCUUUUAAUUAAUUCUAUUAACCUUUUUGGCAAAUACUAAACUAAGGUUAUACGUGCCAAUUAAAAUUAAUUUUAUAUGGAAGAUUUUAAACUGCAAUAACUGUAUCCUUUUAAAAGGUAACAGUAAUCAAAGCUUUUAUGUUUUUGAUCAAAUGCACACUGCAUGGUGUUGUGUUCUGCCUUGGAUAAAAUGCUGUUUGGA
Molecule: long non-coding RNA, 625 nt
Organism: Dermochelys coriacea (leatherback sea turtle)
Lineage: Eukaryota; Metazoa; Chordata; Testudines; Dermochelyidae
Exons: 3
Source: RefSeq, a predicted model, not a curated record